RNAcentral lists this long non-coding RNA (2323 nucleotides) under Citrus sinensis (sweet orange). Its description in RNAcentral is "long non-coding RNA (CSIN_LNC004236)". Lineage: Eukaryota; Viridiplantae; Streptophyta; Magnoliopsida; Sapindales; Rutaceae. The record is from RNAcentral.
UUUCGGUAAUUUUGAGUGAAGGCAAUGAAGUAAUUUAUGCUUUCGAGGGUAAUUCGGUAAUUUAAGACGUUAAGGACAUUUCGGUAAUUUUAUGCCCCGAGGGUAAUUUCGUAAUUUCGGACAAUGUGAUUAAUUUAUGUAAUCUGAAUUGAGGACAAUAUGGUAAUUGACGAAUAUGAGGAUAAUUUGGUAAAAUAAUGAAGUUUGAGGAUAAGUUGGUAAAAUAUUGAUGUUGGGGGUAUUUUGGUAAUUUUGGCAUGUAGGGGCAUUUUGGUAAUUUUACUCAUGCGGGAAUAGUUUACCGUUAAUAGAGAUUUGAUUCGAGAUUUAUUAUAUUAAAUUGGUUGUAUUUCUAUUUACGGAGAAUAAUUAUAGUGUUUCCGUGAUUAGGAGGAUCCGCAUCCGCGAACGAGAAUCAACCCGCGGACGUUGUUGAUACCGAGUCUAGACAUCAUCACUGUGAGUGGAAUAUACAAAACCUAUUUUCAUAGUAUAUGCUGGUUUUAUGAUAAGUAUUUAAUGCUUCGAUUAAAUAAUUUUCUGGCAAAUUAAUUUUUAUCUAUGUGUUGGUCUUUAUUGUUAUUGAGAAUGAGUUUGAUUAAUGAUUUUAUUAGCGUUUUUUUUUAGUAAAGGCAUGAUAUUAGAAUUGAGCAGAUUUUGAGAUAUGUUGAAUAGAAAGAAAAUGAGAUUUCAGAUGAGAUUCUAUGUUUAUGUAUAUGUUAUUUUUGAAAUCAUUAGACAGUACCCUUCCCUCCAGAUACAGAGAAACAGAUAAUAUGAGAUGAGAAAAGAGAUACAGACAAGAGAUACAGAUAAGAUGAGAUAGAGGCCUUUGGGGCCCGUCGGGACACACAUAGAGGCUUUGGGCCGUGUGUUCGGGCGCUUUUGCCUUUUGGGGGCUUAUGCAUGCACAGUACAGAUAUAUGAGAUAAGAGAUAUGAGAUAUGAGAUAUGAGAUGAGAUCGUCCCCAUCUAUCCGUUGUAGCUCCGGGGCGUGACGUUACCCAGAUAGUACGUCAUUGCCCGUCCGUCGAGAUCCGGAUAUGAUCAGAUUAUUCCCUGGGUACUUGUUUGAUGACAGUUUUUAGUAUUCAGUAUUUGAUAUGAUGAGUAUUAUAUGAUUCCAUCGAUUUUAUGCGAAUAUAUGUAUUAUAGUGUUUCAAUGAACUGAUUUGCAUUAAAUGAGUUUGAGCAAGUUCUUAUGAUAUUUUGAGAAAUUGAAAUUGAUUUGAGAAACAAUUUGAGAAAUUGAUUUGAGAAAGAUUAAAUCAUUUUAAAUAAAUUUAUUAAAUUGUCAGUAACUACUAUCCACUCACUGAGCUCACUGAGUUUUAUACUCACCCCUCUUUUAUUAUUUUAUAUUUUUCCCCCCACAGGAGAGUUACAGGUACAUCAGUCAACCCAGUAGCGAACGUUAGUGUGAUAUUGUGGCCACGUGAUGGUGCUAGGAGUCGUGGAUUUUCACUGUGAGUGGAAUAUACAAACCUAUUUUCAUAGUAUAUGCUGAUUUUAUGAUAAGUAUUUAAUGCUUCGAUUAAAUGAUUUUCCGGUAAAUUAAUUUUUAUCUAUGUGUCGGUCUUUAUUGUUAUUGAGAAUGAGUUUGAUUAAUGAUUUUAUUAGCGUUUUUGAGUAAAGGCAUGAUAUUAGAAUUGAGCAGAUUUUGAGAUAUGUUGAAUAGAAAGAAAAUGAGAUUUCGGAUGAGAUUCUAUGUUUAUGUAUAUGUUAUUUUUGAAAUCAUUAGACAGUACCCUUCCCUCCAGAUACAGAGAAACAGAUAAUAUGAGAUGAGAAAAGAGAUACAGACAAGAGAUACAGAUAAGAUGAGAUAGAGGCCUUUGGGGCCCGUCGGGACACACAUAGAGGCUUUGGGCCGUGUGUUCGGGCGCUUUUGCCUUUUGGGGGCUUAUGCAUGCACAGUACAGAUAUAUGAGAUAUGAGAUGAGAUCGUCCCCAUCUAUCCGUUGUAGCUCCGGGGCGUGACGCUACCCAGAUAGUACGUCAUUGCCCGUCCGUCGAGGUCCGGAUAUGAUCAGAUUAUCCCUUGGGUACUUGUUUGAUGACAGUUUUUAGUCUUCAGUAUUUGAUAUGAUGAGUAUUAUAUGAUUCCAUCGAUUUUAUGCGAAUAUAUGUAUUAUAGUGUUUCAAUGAACUGAUUUGCAUUAAAUGAGUUUGAGCAAGUUCUUAUGAUAUUUUGAGAAAUUGAAAUUGAUUUGAGAAACGAUUUGAGAAAUUGAUUUGAGAAAGAUUAAAUCAUUUUAAAUAAAUUUAUUAAAUUGUCAGUAACUACUAUCCACUCACUGAGCUCACUGAGUUUUAUACUCAC